GGAGAGGUGCCAGAGUGGUUGAAUGGGGCGGUCUCGAAAACCGUUGAGCGGGCAACCGUUCCGAGGGUUCGAAUCCCUCUCUCUCCGCCA
This 90-nucleotide transfer RNA is filed under the name Roseibium limicola. Its description in RNAcentral is "Roseibium sp. CAU 1637 tRNA-Ser". It matches the Rfam family "tRNA". Rfam says of the family: Transfer RNA (tRNA) molecules are approximately 80 nucleotides in length. Their secondary structure includes four short double-helical elements and three loops (D, anti-codon, and T loops). Lineage: Bacteria; Pseudomonadati; Pseudomonadota; Alphaproteobacteria; Hyphomicrobiales; Stappiaceae. The record is from RNAcentral.